GUAUAACCUUCUUAUUCUAUUUAUCGUUUAUGAACUUUUGCCUCCUAAAACGUACACACUAUGGGUCUUCAAGAGAAAGGGCGAUGCUUAAAUAAUACAAAUAGCAGAAAUCUGGGGGAAGAUGUGGCCCUUAGGAGUUCUGGAGUAACUCAAAAAAUUCAUUGAGUGUCUUGGAGAGACUAAUUGCUCCUUUUGUCUAUAGGUUCUUAAUCAGUGGAGAAGGGAGCCAGCUUGGAACCCAAUAUCAGUUCUGUUGUUGGUUAAGAUGAUUUAGAGAGUGUGACUUGGACCUCUGGCAAAAAUGAAUAUAUGGCUGGAAGACAGAGAUCCACCAGGCUCUCAAUUGAAAGCCCUGGAGGGCUACACCCUAAGAACAGAAGUGAAUCGGAGGUACACUUAGCAAAACUGAAACCAGCUUCUGAUUCAGAAUAAUCUCUGACUCGAUUGAGGUGAUCAAAGGCUAUUCUACCUGCCCAACAGAAGAAAAAGGGAACACUUUCGGUGGAAGGCAAUAUCAUCUGGACCCUUUAUGGUUUUAUUAUACAUAAUGUCUAACAUUUUUUAAAUUACUAGAUGUGGAAGAUCAAGUUCAUUUGCCCAAUAAUCAAGAGAAAAAAACACACACAAUAGAAACACAAUUAUAGAUGAUCAAGAUAUUGUAAUCAGCAAAUGAGAAUUUACAAAUAAUUUUUAUGAAUAUGUUUAAGAAAAUAAAGUGCAAAAUUGAUGAGGAAAUGGACAAUUUUCAGUAAAACUAACCUAUAAAAAAGAUUUCUUUAGGCAUUCUAAAUUUGAAAAAAUAUACUAUCGUCAGUUAAGAAAUCAAUAUAUGGAGAAAACUGCAGUGGAAAGGAUCAGUAGAGAUAGCAGUGUGUCCAACAGCCAAGAAAGUAGGGUGGCGGGCAUACAGAUAGUGAUGUGCAUAGGGGCAAAAGAAGUCAUAAUGGGAAAGCCAUGUGGAGGCAGCAGAGUGCCUGGUGUCCAAGGAAGCAUGUAUAGGGGGUACAUAUGGUGGCAGUUGUAUGCUCAGCAGAAGAAGCACCAGGGAGGUGAAGGUCACGUUGACAGCAUGAACCUUCGAUGUGAUGUGAGGAAAAUGGCAUUCUACCUCUGUGUUCUUCCUCCCCAAAAUUUGUAACCACCAUCUAAUCAUGAGGAAAACAUCAUACAAGUCCAAAUUGAGGAAGAUUCUACAAAAUGCCUGAUUAAUAUUCAUCGAAACUGUCAAGGUCAUCAAAAGCAAGGAAAGUCUGAGAAACUGCCACAGCCUAAAGACAAUCCAGGGAAACGUGAUGACUCAGUGGUAUUCGGGGUGGGUUUCUGGAACAGCAAAAGGACAACAGGCACUGGACUUCAUUACUUCCUUACUGCAACCUGGCGCUUAAAGUGCUAUCAUCACAAGGAUGAAGAAACAGUUCAGAAAGGCUGAUUGAGAUGGCUAUGGUCAUGCCUUAUACCACUGGCAGGU
This 1468-nucleotide long non-coding RNA is filed under the name Homo sapiens (human). RNAcentral's name for it is "HSALNT0114537". Lineage: Eukaryota; Metazoa; Chordata; Mammalia; Primates; Hominidae. The record is from RNAcentral.